GGUCUGCUGUGUUCAAAUGGUGAUUUUCUGUUCUCUGCCCGUCUUAAAAGCUGCGGUGACAAGGUCUUCCAGAAGGAGGAGCAGAACCACUUGUCCUUGGACCUCCACCCGUCGUUGAUAGCUGGCCUCCAAUUCUACUUCAAACCUUCAGAGUUGGAGUGCACCUGCCGGCAGUGCUCUGGAUGCCAGGCAACAGCGGUUCGGCAUUUCCUCACUCUGCCCAGAGUGUUACUCCUUCACAUGAAGCGCUUCCACCACGACGGGGCACGGUUGAGGAAGGUGACCGAUGCUGUCAGCGUUCCUCCAUGGCUGUCUCUGGCCUCCCUCGUUGGAGAGCAGGGUGCUGCAGCUGGGAUAGACCCACUGAGAUCAAGUUAUGGAGAGGGGGAAAUCGCAUCUGGAGCAAAACCAAGUGCAAACAUGGGUAAGAAAAAAGUGAUGGAUUCCUAUCUCAUGCCCAACCGCUUGAGUUUUUCAGUUGUGUACAAAACAGGAUUGUUGGUGUGUUUCUCAGCAGCAGUGGAUCAUCUUGACAGUGCAGGAGACAGGGACAGAGGUCUUCAGGAAGUUCAUGGGAAGGAUCACAGCAACCAGAGCACCUACCGUCUGUCGGGGAUGGUCUCUCACCUCGGGGAGAGCAUCAACACCGGCCACUACGUCAGUGACGUAGCUCGAGAGGACGGCGCCGGAUGGUUGACCCUCAACGACGCCCGUGUGACGCCCGCGGAGACGCCGGUCCUGAGGACCAGAGAGAAGACCGCCUACAUGUUGUUUUACGUCCUAAGUGGAGCAGAAGAGGGAAGCCAUGUCCCACUGGCUCAGAACCAGGAGCCAUCUGGAGCUGAGAGGGACUGACACCUGUGAGGCCCAGGAGAGCGCUUGAUUGGUGGCAGAGUUCCCGUUGUCCGCGGAAACACUGAUUGGUGGUGCCUCUACAGCCCGCUCUGGGGGCCACACCCUGCAGCCCCCCUCUACAGCUGAGGCCCACCUUUAAACGCCCCCCUAGGGGCCACACCCUGAAGCCCCCCUCUACAUCCCCCCCUAGGGGCCACACCCUGAAGCCCCCCUCUACAUCCCCCCUAGGGGCCACACCCUGAAGCCCCCCUCUACAUCCCCCCUAGGGGCCACACCCUGAUGCCCCCCUCUAGGGGACCUGAGGCCCCUCUCUACACCCCCCUCUGGGGGCCACACCCUGCGUCCCCCUUCUACAGCCCCCUCUAGGGGCUAACCAACCCCCUCUACACCCCCCUCUCGGGGCCCUGCGGCCCACCUCUUUGGACUUUAAGGCUGAUCAUAAUGAGGAUCACUUUAUUUUUAUUUUGUAUCAUAAUAAUGAGGAGCAUAUUCAUAUUAUGUAUAAUAAUAAUGCUGAGGAUCAUCUUAUUAUGAAUAAUAAUGUCAUUAUGUGAUCCUUUUUAUUAUUAUGCAUGUAUAAUAAUAAUAAUGAGGAUAACAUUAUUAUGUACAAUAAUAAUGCUGAGGAUCAAAUUAUGUGUAUAAUAAUAAUAUGAUAAUUAUGUAUAAUAUAUAAUAUAAUAGCACUAUAUAUAAUGUAACUAUAAAAAUAAGAUCCCUGUGGAACUAAUAUAUGAUUAUUGAGCUCUGGUUUUCAUUCAAUUUCGUUUAAAUAAAUGUGUUUAUUGUAUAAAUAGUAAAAUAACAAUUAAAAUGUUCAUGAUAUUAAUAAUUUCAAUCAAAUCAAUAAUAAGAUAUCACCAGAGUAUAUAAUAAUAAUAUAUGUCAUCAAUAACCCCACACAUAAAACAGUCAGACACCAUUUCAACCUUCAAGUCACAACAACGUCUAACUGUUCACUGUUUUUAUUUUUUUAUUUCUUAUUGCUUAUGUUUAUUUAUUUAUUUAUUUAUUUAUUUUUUCCACAAUGUCUUGCUUUUUAAAAAAUGUAUGAUGACUAUAUGCUCUGUAAGGUGACCUUGGGUGUCUUGAAAGGCGCCUCUAAAUUAAAUGUAUUAUUAUUAUUAUUAUAAAUGCGUUUACUUGCUA
This is an RNA transcript of Gadus morhua (Atlantic cod), 2004 nucleotides long. RefSeq lists it as uncharacterized. The record is from RefSeq and is a predicted model, not a curated record. NCBI's taxonomy places the organism in Eukaryota, Metazoa, Chordata, Actinopteri, Gadiformes, Gadidae. The transcript is spliced from 8 exons.